CCUACGGGUGGCAGCAGUGAGGAAUAUUGGUCAAUGGACGAGAGUCUGAACCAGCCAAGUAGCGUGAAGGAUGACUGCCCUAUGGGUUGUAAACUUCUUUUAUAUGGGAAUAAAACGUUCCACGUGUGGGAUUUUGUAUGUACCAUAUGAAUAAGGAUCGGCUAACUCCGUGCCAGCAGCCGCGGUAAUACGGAGGAUCCGAGCGUUAUCCGGAUUUAUUGGGUUUAAAGGGAGCGUAGGUGGAGUGUUAAGUCAGUUGUGAAAGUUUGCGGCUCAACCGUAAAAUUGCAGUUGAAACUGGCAGUCUUGAGUACAGUAGAGGUGGGCGGAAUUCGUGGUGUAGCGGUGAAAUGCUUAGAUAUCACGAAGAACUCCGAUUGCGAAGGCAGUUCACUGGACUGCAACUGACACUGAGGCUCGAAAGUGUGGGUAUCAAACAGGAUUAGAUACCCCUGUAGUC
This 460-nucleotide ribosomal RNA is filed under the name uncultured bacterium. RNAcentral describes it as "partial 16S ribosomal RNA". It matches the Rfam family "Bacterial small subunit ribosomal RNA", at positions 338 to 795 of the family's 1533-position model. The record is from RNAcentral.